UACAGAGGGGGCAAGCGUUGUUCGGAAUUACUGGGCGUAAAGGGCGCGUAGGCGGCCUGCUAAGUCGAACGUGAAAUCCCCGAGCUCAACUCGGGAACUGCGUCCGAUACUGACAGGCUUGAAUCCGGGAGAGGGAUGCGGAAUUCCAGGUGUAGCGGUGAAAUGCGUAGAUAUCUGGAGGAACACCGGUGGCGAAGGCGGCAUCCUGGACCGGCAUUGACGCUGAGGCGCGAAAGCGUGGGGAGCAAACAGG
RNAcentral lists this ribosomal RNA (253 nucleotides) under uncultured bacterium. RNAcentral describes it as "partial 16S ribosomal RNA". It matches the Rfam family "Bacterial small subunit ribosomal RNA", at positions 524 to 776 of the family's 1533-position model. The record is from RNAcentral.